This 84-nucleotide transfer RNA is filed under the name Caulobacter henricii. Its description in RNAcentral is "tRNA-Leu". It matches the Rfam family "tRNA". Rfam says of the family: Transfer RNA (tRNA) molecules are approximately 80 nucleotides in length. Their secondary structure includes four short double-helical elements and three loops (D, anti-codon, and T loops). Further hydrogen bonds mediate the characteristic L-shaped molecular structure. tRNAs have two regions of fundamental functional importance: the anti-codon, which is responsible for specific mRNA codon recognition, and the 3' end, to which the tRNAs corresponding amino acid is attached (by aminoacyl-tRNA synthetases). tRNAs cope with the degeneracy of the genetic code in two manners: having more than one tRNA (with a specific anti-codon) for a particular amino acid; and 'wobble' base-pairing, i.e. permitting non-standard base-pairing at the 3rd anti-codon position. Lineage: Bacteria; Pseudomonadati; Pseudomonadota; Alphaproteobacteria; Caulobacterales; Caulobacteraceae. The record is from RNAcentral. RNAcentral also lists the same sequence under 6 other names.
GGGGACAUGGCGGAAUGGUAGACGCGCCGGACUUAAAAUCCGUUGGAGCAAUCCGUGUGGGUUCGAGUCCCACUGUCCCUACCA